CUUAGUUAAUUCUAUUAAUAGUUAUAUACUUAUCUUAAAGAUUAAGCUAUAUAUAUCUAAGUAUAAGUAAUUAUAUAACGAAAUUAUAAAUAGCUUAUUAUAUAAGUUAUUAUUUAUUUAAUAAUACCUUACUACUUAGAUAAUUAUAAUAAUUCUAAAGCUAAUAUAUAUUAAAAAUCCCGACUUCGGAAGGGAUAUAUUUAUUAGAUUAAAAACUAAUACUCUUCGAGGCUUACUAGUAAUUUAUAAUAACUUCUCGAAUCGUAUAGCCUUACGCUAGCGAUAGUUUAUUUAAAUUUCUUCCUUAUUAACUUUUAAUACUAAAAUAGUAUUUUAGUAUAGUUAUAAUAAGUAAUAGAGGGUUAAGGCUCGACCUUAGAGAAAAAGCUUAAGAAAUAGCUAUUAUAUCUAAGAAAGGUAAUAGGUAUAUAAAUUACCUAAUCCUAACUCGGGGAGGUAGUAAUAAUAAAUACUAAUAUAAGGCUUUUUUAAGUCUUAUAAUUAGAAUAAGUAUAAUUUAAAUCCCUUAAUAAGGAAUAAUUAGAAAGUAAGUCUAGUAUUAGUAGCCGUAGUAAUUCUAGCUUUAAUAAUAUAUAUUAAAGUUAUUAUAAUUAAAAAGCUUAUAGUAAAACCUUAAGCCUAGCUAGCUAGUCUACCUUACUACGUAUACUAGUCUAGCUAAGCCUUUCCCUCUAUAAAACCGUAUGCCUUUUACUAAGUAUACCGGGGAAAUAAGACUUUUACUUUAAAAAAAUUAGAAUACUUUAAGCAGGCUUAUGCUUAAAUAUAUUAGUAUAGAAUAAUAGAAUAAGACGUAUAGUUCUAUUUUAUUAGUUUUUAAGACUAUUAUAAUAAUUAAUAAGGAUAGUCGGGGGUAUUAGUAUUUAAUUAUUAAAAGUAAAAUUCUUAGAUUUAUUAAAGACUAACUAUUAUAAAAGUAUUUAUUAAGGAUGUUUUUAUUUAUUAAGAAUAAAAGUUAGGAGAUCGAAGACGAUUAGAUAUUGUUAUAGUCUUAACUAUAAAAUAUGCCGACUAGGGAUUAGACGAUAUUAUUUUUUAACUUAUUUAGUAUUUUACGAGAAAUUAAAGUGCUUAGGCUUUAGGGGGAGUAUAAUCGCAAGGCUAAAACUUAAAGAAAUUAACGAAAAAGUACUACUAAGGGUAAAGCCUACGGCUUAAUUUAACUUAAUACGGGGAAACUUACUAAGUCUAGAUAUAAUAAGGAUUAAUAAAUUAAAAGCUUUUCUUAAAUUUAUAAGUAGUAAUAUAUAGCCGUUCUUAGUUAGUAAAGUAAUUUAUCUACUUAAUUACGAUAACGAAUAAGACCUUAACUUGCUAAAUAGCUUAUAUUACUUUAGUAGUAUACUAGCUUCUUAAAAAGACUAUCGGCUUAAGCUAAUAAAAGUUUAAGGUAAUAAUAGGUUUAUAAUACCUUUAGAUAUUCUAAGCCGUACGCGCGUUAUAUUAAUAAAGCUAGUAAGUACUCCCUUAACCGGAAGGUCUAGGUAAUCUUAUUAAACUUUAUUAUACUAAGGAUAAAGUAUUAUAAUUAUUACUUUUUAAUAAGGAAUCCUUAGUAAGUAUAAGUUAUUAGCUUAUAUUAAUUACGUCCCUACCUUUUAUAUAUACUACUUAUUACUACUACCGAUUAAAUAGCUUAGUAAGGCUUUUAGACUAGCUUAGAAAGGUAAGUAACUACUACUUAAGGCUAGAAAGUUAUCUAAACUUAGUUAUUUAGAAGAAGUAAAAGUCGUAAUAAAGUCUCCGUUAGUAAACUAAUAAAGG
Molecule: ribosomal RNA, 1785 nt
Filed under: Colletotrichum truncatum
Lineage: Eukaryota; Fungi; Ascomycota; Sordariomycetes; Glomerellales; Glomerellaceae
Description: SSU rRNA
Rfam family: Eukaryotic small subunit ribosomal RNA
Source: RNAcentral